Molecule: long non-coding RNA, 220 nt
Filed under: Eucalyptus grandis
Lineage: Eukaryota; Viridiplantae; Streptophyta; Magnoliopsida; Myrtales; Myrtaceae
Description: long non-coding RNA (EGRA_LNC000331)
Source: RNAcentral
GACAAACUAGCUGAGAUGUUCAUUGAGGUGAGCCACAAAAAGUUCAUGCUGGAGAAGCAGGAGUCCGAUAGGAGUUUUCAAGAAAUGAUGGCUAGGAGCCUCUAGAUUGCCUUGUGAAUUGAGGUCUGCAGUUUCUUUAUCUUUUUUUCUUUUUCUUUUUCUUUUUCUUUUUUUUCUGUUGAGUUGGCUUUUGUGGAGAGAGCUUGUAUAAAUACCAUGA